Equus caballus (horse) is the source of this 16941-nucleotide long non-coding RNA. RefSeq lists it as uncharacterized. Lineage: Eukaryota; Metazoa; Chordata; Mammalia; Perissodactyla; Equidae. The record is from RefSeq and is a predicted model, not a curated record.
CGUGGUCAGACUCUGAACAUCUUUUGAGGGAAGAACCAACAAAAUUUGCUGACAGAUUGGAAGGGCAAUGUGAAAAAGAGAGAGGAGUUAAGAAUGACUUCAAGGAUUUUGGACCUGAGCAAAUGGAAAGAGUGAGCUGUCAUGAACGGAGGUGAGAAAGACGACAAGAGAAAGGAUUUGGGGAUGUUUGGUGAGGUAGGGGUCAGGAAGCUGGUUUUUGUCAACAUGUUCAAUGGGAGAUGCCUGAAGACACCCAUGGGAUGUGCUGAGCAGCAGGGGAGAGGCUGGGCUGGAGAGACACUUGGGACCAACAGUGUAUAGAUGGUAUUUGAAGCCAGGAGGCUGCGGGAGGUCACAGAGGAGUGAGGGUGGGGACGGAAAAGAAGAGGGCUGAGGACCGGGCCCUAGGCCUCCUGUGCAAAGUGUUGGGGAAGGUGGAGAGUACUCAGCAAAGGAGACCGAGGUGAAGCCACCAAGAUAGGAGGGGAAUCCAAAGAUCGCUGUCCUGACAGCCAAGUGCAGAAAGAGCUUCCGGGAGGAGGAAGUGAAUGGUGUGUCCAGUGCUCUGUCAGCUCCGUUAAGAUCCAGACUGAGACUUGACCAUCAGAUUUACGGAGAGGGGUCACUGUUGACUUUAACAAGAGCCCUGUGGAGGAAGGGCGGGGGUGCGAGCCUGACCAGAGUGCCUCCAAGAGCAAGAGAGAGGAGAAGAUUGGGAAUUAGGGCAGGUACUUGACUCUGAGGAGCAAAGAAGCAGAGUGACAGACGGAAGAGGAUGUGGGCUCAAGAGACGGGUGUGUGUGUGUGAGAGAGACAUAUCAGCGCGCCUGCAUGCUGAUGAGAAUGAUCAAGUCUUGAGGAGACCUUCAGGAUGCGGGUGAAGAGGAGAGACUUGCUGGAGCCAUGGCCUUGAGAGAAUGAGAGCAGACGGCAUCCCGCGCCCCGUGGAGGAGGGGUGUUUGCUGGGAGCACAGGCACACAGCUGUACAAUGGAAGAGCGGUCCCCGCAGAGGGCAGAGGAGGCGGGGCGGGGCGUUCCCAGAGCCAGCACAGGGUGAGAGACACCCACGUUCCAUAGCAGGGACAUGUGCAGGCAUUUGCUCUCGGCUAUUUACAUACAUUAGCUUCAAAUUCUUGCAACAACCCAAUGAGAUAAAUGCUGUCACUGUGCCCAGUUUAGGUAGAAUACUGAGGCAUAGCAAUGUUCAGAAUUUUGUCCAAAGUCACACAAGUAGCAAUCGGCAUAGUCUGGCUGAUGACCCCUGCUCGCUGUACCAGGAUGAACGGAGGGACGACGGCUCAGCGGCAGCUGGACGAGAAGCUGCAGAGUUUGGUGAACCCAGAGCUGCGAUGAACUGACUGGUUUCUCCUUCUGAGAUGUCUGCUCAUUUGCAGGGCACUUUUCAGUCAUUCCCAACCGAGUCAGGAGGCCAGCAGGCAGAGGCGGGGCCAGGUCAAGCUCCCAGUGUGGCCUUGGUGCAGUCCGGAGUAUCGUUCCUCCCCACGGCCAUACAUUUUCCAUUGAUUCCCACAGGGAUUAUGGUGGCGUUUCCUCUCCUUUCCCUUCAAAGACACUCCUAGGAGCCUGAGCUCCUGGAUUGCAGUCCCCCGUCUUCCUGAGGAAGGGAAGGGAGGGAGGACAUGUUGAGGUGGCGUAGAACUGGUUCUGGCGCAGGCUGGCUGACUCGCUGCAAUCCUCUGGGCCUUGGCUGCGCGAGGCAGACAGGCCAGGCUGGGAUCUUCGUUCAUGGACUCCCGUGUUCCGUCAGCACACGGGUACCGCGUGCAGCUGUGUGCCGGCAUAGCACAGGGCACUGAGAUACGACCACCAGCACGAAGGGUGCGUCCUGCCUUUGUGAGCGUGCAGUCUGUGGGGGCGGGGUGAGGGGAGGCACUGAUAGCCACACGACUCUAAACGGGAUGCACGCUCUGAAGGAAUUUCCCAGCAUGCUGUGAGAGUCCCCUUUCCUGAGCACUUGUGUAAUGUGUGGGAAAUCUGACUGAGGCUUGACCACAAAACAAAACUGUCUUCAUUCAUUGUUCAUUCAUUCAUUCCUUCAAAAAAUUGUAACGAGCACCUGCCUUCUGGAGCAGUGGCUUUGUGUUUUGCAUUCCCCAACGAAGGGAUAAAUCAAGGCUGAUAGGAAGAUAUGACAUGAAAUGGGGCUGGGAACAAGUUUAUUUGGUCAACCAAAUUCAAGAGACAUUCGCUAUGUUUUGCUGUGGGCCCGGCGCUAGGACAUGAGUGUGUCGGGGUCAGGACGUGAUGGUGUCUGCCCUCAGGGAGCUCUUGGGGAACCCUGGGGUCUAAGUCUUGGGCAGAGGGGAGUAAGCUGGACCAGGGUGAGCCCACUGGGGUUUGAAUCUGGGCUUCACCACACAAGAGUAUAAGACCUAAGGGGAAUUUUGAAACAUUCUGUAGCCUCCAUUUUCUCAUCUGUAUAUAAAAAUAAGGACAUUUCUCAAUAUUAUUAUAUACUGUGCUAAGCACUGAGCGUGCACUACUUCAUUGACCCACAUAACAGCCUUAGAGGUAUGUUCUUUCCUUUCUCCAUUUAACUGAUGGGGAAACCGAAGCUCAGAAACGAAAAGAGAUGCUGAUGUCAUAAUGCUGCCAAGGGCUCUCUUUUAUUCUCACAAGAUAUAGGACAGGUGGCUGACAGAGACCCCACAACCCUCAGGCAACGUGGGCUCCAAACUUGUCUGAUCCAUCAUCUCUCUUAGAAACGCUACAAAACAUGUCCUCAUCGAUCUUGUUUAUUUAGAAACAAAGACCUGUCCUACCAUCCGUCUACAUGGCAAAGAUUCACUUCUUAUCUUGGAUAAAAUCAAAUAUACAUAAAGAUUGCAUCUAAACAUAAAUACAGAUACAAUUGCUCCCUGCCCCCCAGUGAGUCACUGAGCACUUGGAGACCAUGCUCCCAGAUCACUUCACGGGGGACAAUGGUGCCCAGAGAGGCCAAGCAACUUGUCCAGUUGCUCAGUGGCAGUAGACCGCUGGGGAGAUUUUGCCCCCAGGUGACACUGGGCAAUAUCUGGAGACAUUUUUCAUUGUCGUGACUGAUGUGUGGGGUGAAAGGGAUGCUGCUGGAACCCAGUAGUAGAAGCCAGGAAUUCUGUUAAGCCAGGAGCCCACAGUGCACAGGACAGACCCCCACAGCAAAGGAUUACCCGGCCGCAAAUGUGAAUAGCACCAAGGCUGAGAAACCCUGGUCUCAGCCCUCUGGGGCCAGGUGGCCUGAGUGUGAAUUUGGGCUCUGUUGCUGGCUGGCAACCGUGAGCACAUUACUUAACCUCUGACCUCCAGUUUUUUCGGCUGAAACGGAGGUUAAUAAUACCAGUGUGGGAAGACGGUGGCAUUAAAUGAGACCCUUUCUAUGCGAAAGGCCAAGGGUUAAUUCUCAUCUUGUUCUCCCACGCCCCUGUCCUCAGUGGUCUCAGCUCUUCCGUGAAGUUGACUUAUUUCCCAGGGCGACUGGGAAGGGUCGGCCGAAAGCCGCCAAGGGCAUUGGAAGCUACACAAGCGCUCUAAAUGCUAAGGAGCCAGGCCAAUCGGUCAGAAAGUUCCAACGCGGGUUUCCAUGUUGCAAGACCUGAGGCAGCGCCCAGGAGAGGGCGCGAGCUGGGGGUGUCUGUGAGCUGCGGGUGCCAGUGGGAGGGGUAAGUUCAGUCUGUCUACAGCAGGGCGGCAGCCUCCCUCCUUCUGUCCCACCUCUUCUCUGAACAUUUCCUGCUCCACUUCUUGGAACUGUCUCUCCCUUCUUUCUUUCCUUUCUUGCCUACUUCCUUCCAGUGAACAGACUUCAGACAUCAUCACACAGAGACAACCCAGUCCUGACCAUCACUGUAGACAGACAUAGAAACAGACCCUUGCAAUCCGUGUCCUGGUACAGAGGGGCGCCAGGAAGGAGGUGGUCCAGCCUAUCUGAGAAUGGAGAGAGGGUUUGGGAAAAAGGUUCUUGGAGGUGUGGCUGGAGCUGUGAGACCCAGCCCCCAUCUCUAACCAGGUUAGAUGCCUCUGCUACCAGGUUGUCAGUAGACUGUAGGCAUCGUGUGGGCAGGGACUUCUAUUUUGUUCCCUGUUGGAGCCUCAGAGCCUGGAAUGGUGCCUAGCAUAUGGUGGGCACUACUACAUAUUUGUGGAAUGAAUAAACAGUGUUUAGAAAUUUGCCAAAUGGGCCUGGGAGAGAAGGGAAGGGCAUUCGGAGCACGGGGAACAGAACUAGCAAAGGCAGGCAAAAGAUGAGAAUUAUGAAAGAUAUAGGAGGAAAUGCUGGGGAUGGUUAGUGAGCUGGGCACGUGGCCCCAGCCCAGGGCUGGUAGCAGAGGCCUUGCAUGUGUGCGGCAAGUCAUUGUAAGUUAUCCGAAGAUGAGAGGAUAUUUUUUUCAGGGAAAGGGUGCAUUAAGAAAGAAAGAGUUGGGAAGGGCAUGACAGCACUCAUUCAGCAACAUUUACUGAGUGCCUGUGAGGUUCCAGGCACUGCGCUAGCCUGGGAGAGAGAUAGCAGGGGCCAGAACCAGUGGGGAUGGGACUCAGGAGCUAAGCUUCGCACAGCACUGAGUGAGCGCCUGCUGCCUGACUGGGGGUGGGCUGGAGGAGGCUGCUGGGGGAAGGGCCAGUCAAGCAGGACUCUGUGGUUUUAUGCCACAGGAACUGACAGGGUGCUGGAGUCAUCGAGGAAAAUAGAGACUACAGAAAGAAACGGGUUGGAGUAGAAAGUGCACUGUGUGACUUUGGGCCAAUUCCUUCUGUGAGCCUUAGUUACUAUUUUUAACAUUAUCAUGAUUACAAACCAGGCAUAGGAGCUUUAUGUACCCAUUUCAUUUAAUCCUUAUAACAUUUCUGCAAAGGAGAUAUUCUCUCCCCCAUUUUACAAAUGGAGAAAUUGAGGCACAGAACUUUAAAUGAUUUCCCAAGGUCAUAGAGCUAGUAAGAUGCUGGGAGAAGCAACAGCGGCAUUGAAGGAUGUCAGACUCCCAAUCCAUUCCUUUCUCCCUCCACCCAGCUCCAAGAAGCUCACCUCAGACACUGGCCUCCAGGCCACCAGCUUAAUCUUGAGAGGUCCAAACUGCUGCUGGAGCCAUCCGGGCUCCCCGGGUCUGCGCUGGGGCAGCGGGUCCGAGCCCCCUGCGGCUAGAAGCUGCGCUCUUCUCAGGACCAUUCCCCACAGACCAUUCCCUCGGUGGAGCCUGGAAAGAAGGUUAAAGGCGACUUCUGCACGUCAGUCAAGAGGCUCCUUCUUGCGAGUGUGACAUCUUAGCCUGAGCGAGGCCGUGCCCAUCUCUAACACAGGGCGGCUGCCAGCGCGUCUCGGGAGGAGCCGGGAAAGACUGCAGGCACCUGCAUGGGGCUUCUCGCGUGGCGAGUGCUCGAUCCACGGAGGAGACACUGGAGGGGUGGCCGGGCCCACAGGCCCCCGGGAGGCAGUUUGCUCUCCUUCAAACCCCAGUUCAUCACAGCUCACACCAGCUGUGACAUGUGGGGCAGGUCUUAAUCUCUUAGUGCCUUGGUUUCUUGAUCUGUAAAACUGGUGUAAUAACAGAAUCUACUCUGUAGGGUAGUAGCAGAGAUGAAAGGAAUGGAGAUGAGAGAUGCCUGAUGCACUCAGAACACCGCCUCCUACCUCCCCAGUGGAACGGCCCAAGGACUCCUGCCCAUGCCUUUCUCAGAAACCAGCCCCCCCACAAAGGAGGAGGAGUCAUUGCGAGCAGGCUCCAACGAAGAGGAAGGGAAUAGUGGCUUUGAUUCAUUCUUUUCUCCAACGUUUUUUUAUUGAGCAUUUAAUUUGCAGCAUGUCAAACACUUAGGUGCCAGGGAGGCUCCACAAGCAAGACGGCACCACACCCCAAGGAACUCGAGGUGGAAAACGAGACCGGGGGAUAAGGAACCGAGAAGCCCGGCGUGUUGGGUCACAGCAGGGGAGAGUCAGGACUUCUGGUUGGGAAUGGCAUUUGCAAAGAUACCGAAUGUUCACGCUUUGCCUUGCACAGCUAUUUGCAUUCAGUAAGAGGAAAUUGUGGGUUUUAUUACCAAAAUGGUUGAUUAUGAAAAUGAUGAAGAUAAUGAUGUCCUUGGAAAUGACUCCAGCAUGUGAAGGUGGAGGAGGGGAGAACGAUGGGAGAGGAGGCUGGGAGUGGGGCAAGCAGAGUCUGGGUCCAAAAGGUCCCAGUGAGCCAGACAGGGAGUUUAAAUUUCAUCCUGGAAGCAGCAAGGCCCCUGGGAAGAAUUUCAAGCAGGAGAGGUGGGUGGCCAGCUCUGUUUUAACGAGAUCAUACCGGAGGCUGCGUUGAGGCUGGGUUGGAGUGAGGUUGACUGGAGUCUGGGAACAUUAGAAAGGUAACUGGCAGCUGGCCUCACUGGGGGGCAGGGGAAAGGGGGCACCACCUCACCUGGACUUGAGAUGAGCUGUGUCACAUCCAGGCCUCAAUUCUAUCAACUUGAGCUUAGUGUAUAUGAAUCCAAAAGGGAAUAAUGUCCACUGACUUCCCAGCUGUCUCCAGGAAUGAAGAUUGGCAACCUGGUCCCUCUCUUUUCUGAGGCCCUGGGCAGCCAGAGGGCCAGGGUCAUGGGCUUGGCUGUGGUAGGCAGAAUAAUGGCCCCCCCCAAAUACGUCAAGGUCCUAAUCCCCAGAAUGUGUGAGUAUGUCACUUUACAUGAUAAAAAAGACUUAGCAGAUGUGAUUAAGAUAAGGGUCUUGAGAUGGGGAGAUUAUCUUGGAUCAUCCCAGGUGAGAGGAUGCUGCACUGCUGGCUUUGAAGACGGAGGAAGCGGCCUUGAGCCUGGGCACGUAGGCACCUCUAGAAAGUAGAAAAGGAGCACAAACAGAGGCACUCUCAACAAGAAUAUACACCUAUGUGCUGGGGGGCUUUGGGAAGGGAAGAAAAAAUGAAAGUGGAAAAGGCAAAGAAUGGGACCCUCCCCUGCAGCCUCCAGAAGGGCCGGCUCUGUCUGUCGGCAUGACUUCAGCCCAGUGCCGCCGGCUCGGGACUUCCCACCUCCAGCAGCAGCACAAGACAGCAUGCGGCUUUACGCCACCAAGUUUGAGCUCAUCUUAGGAAUUGAAAGGAGGGUGUUCUUUUUCUUCCCUUAGUUCCUGCCCAGGGCCAGGACUAGCUGGAGGGGGACCAUCCAGGAAAGCUCCAAACCGUGUUUGUCCUGGAGGCUGAGGAGACGCCAACGGGUGAGAGAGGGAGGAGAGCGCACAGAUGCAGUGCAGACGCUGCCCUGGAGAGAACGCUGCUCCGGGCCAGGCUCGUGCUGGGCGCUCUCAUGGACUGCCUCACUCUCCUCUCAAUAACCAGGGGGAAACUGAGGCACACAGAUUUUAAGUAACUUGCCUGAGGCCGCACAGCUAUAAGCGGCAGAGCAGAGACCUGCCCCCGUGUGCCGCUGGAGCCCACGCUCUUUACCUUGCACUGUAUCCUAGGAGGAGCCGGGGGUGGGGGAGGCACUGUGGGGCGUUCCUCGAGUGGGAACCUGUGUCACCAGCCGCCCAAACUUCUGCUUGCCCGAGGUGUCUUGUCUCUCCCCGUUUCAGGAUAGCGGCGAAGGAAGGGGAAUUCCCUCUCUGUCUCUCUCUGUCUGUAUAACCCUUGACCCCUCUGCUGGAGCUUUCCCUGGAAAGGAUGUGACCCAAGAUGAGAUAUCAGGAAAGCAGGUGUGUCUGGCCGUGUUUGACCCUCAGCAGUUCUGUGGCCUUGACUUCAUCCUGAGCUAUCAGAGUGGGCAGGAGUAUAUUUCAGACGGGGAAACUGAGACCCAGAGUAGGAAUUGUCUUGCCCAGAAUGGUUUCUGCAAGGGGCAGUUUUCCACCCUCAGGAGGCCUCUUUGUCAUGGACUAUGGAGGUGGCAAAAGAGAUACAAUGCGUGUCUAUAACCAGGCUCUGCAGUGGCAUCUGAUGCGGCUUUUCUGGUCUGCCUCAGUCACAGAUUAUGAUAAAAAUUCCUGGUUCAGCCACUUAACUGGCUGAGUGACCCUGGGCAAGUUAUCCAACCCCUCUGUGCCUCAGUUUCAUCACCUAGAAAAUGGGGAUUACCUAUGUAAAGUGUUUCCUGCUCUGGUGGAUGAGGCGGGGGCAAAGAGACAAUGAUGCCAGUACCCAACACUUCCAAAACAGGGAGCGCUGGAUGGGCUCGGACCUGACGCCGAACCCCUUUCUGUUCUUUUUCUCCUCUCAGUUCUUCUCCCCAGAGUUUUCACAGGAAUUGAGAAUCGUCAGAGAGAGUUUGGUCACAUCCGGUUCUACCUGCCCCUGACAGGGGGAGCGGUGAGCCUUGGGAGCAUCUGGGAGGCCAGGGCUGCACACUCAGGGCUGCCAGCUCAGGGGGAGGUCCGGGUUUGCUGUGGGGGGGCAGCCAAUGCGGGGAGGAGCCAAGGGAAGCCCCUCCCCCGGGAGGUGUGGGCCCAGCCUUGCUCCUGUCCCGCUCUGGCUUCACUCUCUUGGGCUACAGAGACAUCCAUAAAUGAUGUGCCCUCUCUUAAUGACUGCAGCCACCAUGUGCAGGGGCUUUGACAGGGUUCACUUGGUGAGCCCAACAGGCCACUGAGGCAGUAAUGCCUAGCCCAUUUCAACAGCGGAAGAAGCAGGAGCCCACACACUCUGGCCCGCAGGCUCCAGAGGUCCUGCUCGGUCUAGCACUGCAUCCCUCCAUGCUCCCUCACUCAUCCCACUCCCGCCCCCUCCUGCGGGGCCGCCUCCGUGCUGGCCCCAGACAGACCCUGUGCUGAGGUCCCCCACCCUCGCACGUGUCCCCUACCCCUGUGUCACCUCUCUGAGCCCUUUCUUUAAGGUCAGUUUGAAGCUCCCUGCUUCCCUUCCUCCCUUCCACAAACCUUCCGAACAACUUCUGUCUCCCUCCUCGACAAAACCUCGAAUAGACCCCUGCACCCCCCGAGUUGUCAGAAGGGACAGCGUGGCCAGGAAGGGAUGGCACUUGUUGACGCUUGCCACAUGCUGCCUACUGUGCAAAACAGUUUACAUGUAUCACUCCAUUUGAUUCUCUUGGGAGGCAGGUGCUAUCAUUGUCCCAUUUUACAGAUGAGGAAACCGAGGCUUAAAAAGUUUAGGCUACCCACCCAAGAUCACAGAGGCAGGAAAUGGAAAAAUGUGGACCCAAACUCAGAUCCGUCUGAGCCUAAAGCUUGUGCUCUUUACCGCACAAUUUGGCCUCCUGCUCUCUAGGCGCCCCUCGCCAGGCUGGCCCUAUCUCCCUUCUAGGUCUCAUCUCCAUGGGCCCUCCUGUCAUUCACUCCAAUUGACUCCCCUUGCAUUUUCGUUCCUCUGGGCCUUUGUGCAUGCUAUUCCUUCUACCUGGAACACCUUUCCCUUUCUUUUGUGCCAUCAAAAGCCUUCCCAUGCAGGGAGCCCUUUCUCUGGGAGUCCCUCCUGGAGGCCCUGGCGGCUCCCACCUCCGACUGUGGAGAGAGCCACUUCCUUCCUGCUGGCCCUUGCAGCGUGCUUCUCUAUGUGACUGCAGCGUGCUGAGUCUGUGCUGGUGUCCAACUGCCACACAUUAACUGAGCACCCAUUUCGUGCCUGGCACUGGGGGCUCUUGGGACAUGGGGGUGAGCCAGAUAGGUGUGUCUCAGCUGUUGCAGCGUUUGCAGCCUUGGGGUGAGGAACAGGCCCAUGCUCAGGACCACACGGCGGCCUGAGUCUUGUGGUGGGGCAGGAUAAGGGGCUUCAAGUGCUCCCAAGAGGAGCACCUAUCCAGGACCAGGAUGGGCAGCAGGGCUCCAUGGAGCAAGUGGUAGUAAACCAAGGUGGAGAGAGUCAAGCCAGGAGGGGGUGAAGGGGGAAAGCAAUGUCUCAGGCAAAGGGAACAGCCUGUGCAAAGGCCCAGGGGUGAUAGAAAGCUAGGUGAGAUCAGAAUGCCACAGAGAUUGGCAUGGCCAGAAAAUAGAGCAUGCAAGGCAAGUGUUGCAAGAACACUCUGGAGAGGCGAGCUCCGACUCUGGCCAAAAACGUUUGCCAGAAUCUUGCCUCUCUCUCCCACUCAUCUGUGGGCUCAGGUGGCUUAGAGGACAGUGUGGCAUGGGAGUUAACAGCCUGGCCUUGCAGCCAGCAAACCCAGGUGUGGCUUGAGUGACUUCAGACAGCUGCUUACCUGUUCUGGGUCCCACUCUCAUCUUUUAAAUGGGAAUCAUCAUACCACCCCCUCCGAGGGCUUGGAGAGGACUGUGUAACGGAAGGGAUGAGCACAGUCUCUGGCCCACGGGAGCAGCUGAAUGCAGGGCUGCUGCAGCGAUGGCAAGAACACAUGGGAACGUGUUAGACACCAUGUUGCUGUUGUCACCAGUAUUCUUACCAUUAUUUCUGUUGUUGGAUCUGAGUCGUCUCUGCCUCUCUUAUGGAUGGCACCAAGGGCUCUGUUGCCUACCCAGCUCUGGGUCCUGGGGAAGGAGCCGGCAAGAUGGCGAGCGCCAGGAUCAUAGAACAACCCCUUUGCCCUCCGCAGCUGUGCGCGGGCCAGGGAAUGAGAGGUCUGUAGCCCUGUGGACUAGUCUGGCAGGGGCUCCGGACACAGAAUCCGGAUGCUAUGUGAACACCCCAGCCUGGCUGGGAAAGCUGCCCACCAGCCCGUCCCCCUCUGCCCUUAUAUGGCCUUCCCUUUCUUGGGGAUGAGUUGAACCUCCUCAGGGUUGGAUGUUCUCGUCCCCCUGCAGGACGCCAGGACGCCUGCUGGGGUGGUGAUUCUUUUCUUGUGGGCAUUCCCAUCUGAUCAAUUUUCUGCCCUCUCUGGCUGCUCUGAGCUGAGGGCUGCCCCCUAAGAACGCAUCACCCAGACCCCCUUGGGCUCUCAAUUCUGGCCGGAUCUGGCCACAGGGAAGCUGCAGCAGGAGAGAGGAGUGUACGGGGAGAGAGGUCAGGCAUCCAUCCCUCUCUCCGUCUGCUCCUUCUUCCACUGUCCUGACAUUGGCUGUGACCAGGACAGCUGUAGCUCCCUGGCUGCUCCUCCUUGGCUCCGGCUCUCAGGCCCCCCAGAGCACCUUCCUUCUCUUCUGCUUGAUCGCUAAGAGGGGUGUGGGCUUCCCGCUGCUCUAGGCCCGGGGGGGCUGCCUUGACCUCUCUUGCUGGUUUCCUUGACCUGCCCCCGCCUCUGAGCACAGCCCUGCUCCGCGCUGUUGCUGUCGCUGUCGCAGGCUGCCUGUCUCCCGCUGACUCCCAUCAGUGUUCCGCGGAGGCUGUCCAGGCUCCUCCAAGAGACCCCGCCCAGCCAGGACCAGGGUGCAGGGCUGCCCCUCUUCUCCUCUCCUGUAACCUGGGUGCCUCCUAAGAGGGCAGGCCAGGGUCCCACAUGGGCACUCGUCCUGGAGGGGUUGGAGCUGCCUGUGGGACUGCAGAGGAAGCCAGGAUUCCAUCACAGAGGGCCUCAGGGGCCAUGGGGGGAGGAUUUGGGGUUUUAAGAACAACAAGCUGUGGCAGAUUUUUGGGAUGGGGAUUGCCAUCCUCUGGUUUACAAAUGUAGAGGAUUUAUCUGCUGAGAGGUUCUAGACGGUCUGUGUAGACCCAGGGAAGCUAUCUGGGGUGCUGGGGCAGUAGUUGCCCUGUGACAUUAUGGGGCUCUGCCACCAUUAGAGACAUCUGCCACCUCCACUGUGAAGCCUCAGCUGGUCACCCACGAAGGGUUGAAGGCUUCCUUCCUGUGUGUUCACAAAACUUUGUCACAGCAGCUAUCACAGUCGCCCCUCCUCCUGUCCGCAGCGCGCCUCUGCCUCAGCGCCCGCUCACUCCCGGGUCCCAGCACGCGCAGGGCCUGCACACAGAGGGUGCGGUAGGGCUGGCGCUUCGCUGAACUGGUUGGGACUGUCUACCUUCAGUGCAAAUGCCUUUGAAGGUGCCUCCUGUUACAACAUGAGUAACUGUUAAGGGAUGCCCAGCGUCAGAUCAGCUUGCGCCGCCUUGUCAGGCAAGGAGAGACAGUGGACAUUGGCUGCGUGCUUCCCCACGCCGCCUCGUCCAGUCCACUUGCCAGCCCUGGGAACAGGCAGUCCUGCCCCGUUUCACAGAGGGGAAACGGAGGCUCAGAAGAGUGGUCUAACUUGGAUCAGGUCGCCCAGCUUGUGAGUGACAGAGCCUGGGUGCCAACCAGGUCUCUCUGUCUCCUAAAGCUGUCAGCGGAGCCAAACGCCGCCAGGAGAACUGGACCAGCCUGCUCAGGAAACUGGCCUGGAAAGAAGGAGUCCAUUGUUUACCAGCUUGUUACUGUGGCUCUGGGCGCAUUAUGGAUCCAAGCAGGUGACACGGAGCAUGGAGCUGCAGCCAAGAGAAGGUUUCAGAAAGACGUGGUCCCACCGUAGCAGUGAGCAGGCAGGAGAGUCAUCGCCCUCCCGGAAACCAAGCCCGCUUUGGAUUGUAGAGAACAGACCGCACAUCUGACACGCGAGUUUCCCAAUUCCUCCCGAUUUGUAGGCUGAGUUUGUAAAACUCUAAAUAUUUGUCUGACUUUUAAGACUGUUUUCUUCAAGUCUCAGUCGGAGACUCUGGAGGGAAACGCCUAGAGCCCCGGGCCGGCGCUGGGCUGGGAGCUGGUGCCCGGAAGUCGCUCCUGCUUCCUGGGUUUGGUGAGCACCUCCUCAUCAGAUUGCCCUGGAAACCUCCACGAGCUGCCAUCAGACAGAUGGGUCUCCUUCUGCAUGGGGAGGGCUGAGGCCCAGGACCUCCAGCACAUGUCCCAUCCUCUUUGCUGGACCAUUCUGCUGCUCGUGGCAUGACCCUGGCACAGUGGCCACGUGGGAUUAAUUCCAAACCUCUGACCUGGCUUUGCGCAUGCCGUUCCUUCUUCUUAGACUCUCCUUCCCUCACCUCCUCUGAACUCAGGGCUCUCCAACUUCAUCCUCAGGACUCAGUGUGGUUCCUCCUCUGGGACGAGGCUCUAAGGGGGAAGUGGCUGUCGGCUCUGUGCUCCUUUCUAGCAUCAGCCCCUUUCUUGUCAUCUUUGCGUGUCCCUGUUUCUCAUCUGGGAGCUCCUUCAGAGCAGGGCGUUGUUGUUCAUUUAAAGAUCUUUAGGCCCUGACAUAGGGCCCAGUCUGCGGCUGGUACUCAGUGAAAGAAGGACUUCAAGAGGAGUCCUGAAUUUUAAACUUUUUGCUCAAAUGAACAGGGCACUCGGGCCUUCACAGAAAGAGUGGUAGGAUGAGGGGUGCGUGGACUGCUGUUUAGGAGACCCCUCGGGCCGAUCUGGGUCAGCCCCCAUUAUUCUGCACCUGAGAAAGUGGGAGCUUAGUGACAUCCCAGCUGCAUGUGUUGCUGGCAGAGCUGAGGUCUCCCCACUCUCAGUCCAGUGCCCAAUCUGUGAUCUCAGGAUGUCCCUCGUCCUCAUGAGAAUGAGCUGCAGCAAAGACAUGGCUGGUGGCGUGGAGAAAGGCAUCCAGGGACAAGAUACUGGGAGUGACAAAAGUCCCUGGAGUGUGGCUUGCCAUCUUGGCAGCAGGCUGCCUGGCAGACUGGAGGAUGCUAAUGAGAAGAAAGCCUCGGGAGUGCCAUGGCAGGAGCUCUGGGUUGCAGACUUGGGCUUCUCAGGCCAGACCCGCUGGCCCGAGUCAGCUCAGGAACCAGGGAAAAGUGCCACAGAGCCGUCCCCAAACCAAAGGCUUCAGGCUCCUUGCAGUUGGGCAUCUGGCCAGAUGUUAAGAAAAGGGGACAUUGCAAAGAACUCUAGCAGGAGGAAGUGGUUUGAGUUUCCUGCUUGAAGGAGGAUGCUUCAUUUAAAUAGAAUUCGGUAGAAUUAAGUAGAAGGGGGAAGUCUCUCGAGCCCUCUGCUUGGACCUGGAAGUCUGCUUCUUGCAGAGAAAGAGGAUUCAGAAAUGGCUUCCCAGGGAACCAGAUUUUACCCCAAAUUCUCAAUCGGGGUGGGGAUGGAUGUAACAGAAAACGUUUCCAACUACUGAGCCCCUGUUCUGUGUUGGGUACUUCUCUCAGUUAGUGCUUCUCCCCAAAUCCUCGUGGAAACUCAGGUUCCCAGAGGGGAAGUGAUUUGCCGCAGAAGACACAGCAAGGCAGGCUGGCACUCGGACCCACUCCCGGCUGACCGCCUCGCCACGUCCGCUCCCAAAGCCGGCUGGCCUCCCUGGGCCUGCGGGCCUCAGUCUGAGUGAGCUUCUCUCGUCUGUGAGCUGACAGUCACCAGGCCAGGCCCCUCCCUGCUUUGCAAAGCUCAGUUUUGCACAGCUAACCUCUUCAGUAGACCUCAGGGAGGUUCGACCGUGAGGGCCUGAGGACAGGGUCUGGGGUGCAUCACCUCUGUCUUCCCCGCACUGGCUCAAGGGCCUGGACCCAGUAGACGCACGGAAACAAUGGUCCCCGUGCCAGGAUCUUCUGUGUGGUAGCUCACUUCAUUCCCACACUGAGCCGGGGCCUGGGUUUGUCAUGCUCAUGUCUGAGAUGGGAAAACAGACUCAGGAAGAGAAGUAAUUUUCUCAGGAUAUGUUGCUUGAUUGUCUUUUAAAAAUAAAGGUAUUCCCUGAGUAUGGUAUAAGUAAGAUGUUUUAGGACACUUCUCUGCAAGAAGUAGCAUAUUUACUUGUAUUUCUAAAUCAAAUAAAUUUGGCUUGCCACGCCCACCUGCAUUUGGCAGGAAAUUCCGUCUCAGCGUGUGGGGUGGAGGUCGCCCCGAAUGCGGGAGUUUAUAGGGGAUGGUGUUUAGACAAGAGUCUGCCUCUGGCCUUCAGCUCCAAGACGUUCCAAUCACAGGGCAAUGCUAAUCAAGCGACGCUUUGGAGCCACUUCCCAGAGUGGCCUGGGAACGCCCCCGCAGGUCAGGUGCUGUUCGAAGAGUUGGCACGGUGUGAGAUUUUUAACCUCAGUGGGUGACGAUGGCCUCCUUCUUCCGCCCUCCCCCCAUCACACAUCCUCUGUUGGGUAAGUUGUAUUGGCCGUGGGCGUUUUAUAUUUGUAAUGUUCUUUUCUUAAAGAAAGCUCCUCAAAAUGCAUAUAUUCAGGUCCCACAAAACCUAGAUGUGCUCCUGCCUGCUUCGUUCACGGUGGCAGUCCCUCCACACGUGCCCUGAGCUGCCUUCCUGGUGGCCCUGGAGCCGUGGCUCUUCCUGUGAAAUCUUCGGCUUUUCCUCUUACCCUUUCAGAGGUUCCACCUUCCUGGAUGGGGGUGCUAUGUGGAAAUGGGAUACUGGUCACCCAUUUUGGAAACAGCAGCUUCCACAGUUUAUUUUGCCAUCUUGGAGAAGCCUUGCCGAGGUUAGGCCAUUCCCCAUUUUCAAGCACAGAGGAAAGGGUACAGAGGCCUUUGCACACACAAUGUCACAGUCAAGGUCAGAAUGUCACAAAGUCACAGGGUCACAGUUAAGGUCACAGUGCCACCAUCAAGGUCACAGGGUCACAGUCAAGGUCAGAGGGAAGGCCAGCAGUGAGACAGCAGCAGGUUGGAUGUGGCUGUCUUCAUUCUCUUAGAUGAAGUUCAAGGCAAAGGUCUCUGACAGUCCUUGGAAGAGAAUGUCCAGCUUGUUUUCCUGCCCAGAGCCUAGUAAACAGGACAACUGGAAUCUGUGGUGGCCUCAGGACACAUGGACUGCAGCCUGGCUGGCCGUGGGAGAGAAGGCAGUGUGGAAAUGGCUGACAUUAGGACCCACCCUGGCCUCUGCACUUGAUCCCCAAGGAAAUUCCUCUUCUGGGACAACCUGUCUCAGGCACUUGGAAUCUGUAUCUUGGGUCAGAAAAUAUGCACAGCCUUUGACCCAACGAUUCUACUUCUAGGAACGCAAUAAGAAGGAUAGUUGCUGAUGUGUGCAAAGAUAUAUGUCCAAGGGUGUUCAACGUAGUGUUGUUUGUAAUAGAGAAAAAGUGGAAGCAACUCAAAUAUCCAGCAAUGGUGGUAAGUCAGGAAACUUGUGUUGCUACAGUGCAUCUAUAUGAUGGAAAAAUAUUAGCCAUUAAUAAUCAUGUGGUAAAGGAAUGUGUAUUGAUAUGGAAUUUUCAGAAUAUUUUGCCAAAUGAAAAAAGGCUAUCAAACAGCAUGUACUGCCUGUUCUUACUUAAUCAUAUAAUUACAUAUUACGCUGAGGUUAACUGAACACUUACUGGAUGCCAGGCAUGGCUCUAAGCAUUUAAAAUACAGUCAUACAUUUCAUCGUGCAACGUCUAUGAAGAAGAUAUUUUUAUUAUCUAUAUAUUACACAUAAGGCACCUGAGACACAGAGCAUUUAAGUAAUUCGCCCAAGGUCACACAGUAGUAAGUGGCAGAACCUGAAUGUGACUAAGGCAGCUGGGGUCCGGAGCCAUGCCUACACCACUAAGCUGGCCCUGCUCUCUCUUCCUGUGUGUGUGCAUGUUUGUAUAGUUUUCUCUCUCUUUCUCAGAGGCUUUACACCAAAAUGUUAGCUGUGUCUUCAGUCAUCCCUUCCUCAAACAAGAUACAGCAGAUGUUUCCAUGAUGCGAGGGGAUGCUGCAGCUACUGCGGCACUGGGGGACAUCUGCGCCUUGAGCACAGAGACCACGCCACGUGCCUGUGUGGACUCCACAUGGGCACGUCCCCAAUUCACCAAUUCAGCAAACAGUGACUAGGCACCCAUUCUGUGCAGGCCUUGUUCUAGGUUUUGAGGAUUCAAAAGUGAACAGGGAAGGCACACAGGACAAUUCUCCCAUAAAACUGACAUCCCAGUGGGGAGGCAGAGAGGUGACCAGUAAGUAAACAGCCAAGAAAAACACCAGCUGGAGAUCAGUGUUGUUGGGAUCUGAAAUUAGAAGAGUACGAGAGAGUGGGACCACAGCUACAGGGGUUAAAUGGCCAGGAAAGGGGACUUUUUAGAGGUGGCAUCUCAGCUGAGACUUGAAUGACCAGAAGAAACAAGAUAUUUGUCUAUAUCCGUAAUGUAUCUAUGUCUAUCUCUAUCUACCUAUCUACCUACCUACCUAUCUAUCAUCUAUCUGUCCAUCACCUAUCUAAUCUGAGAGAGAGAGAUAAAUCAAACCCAGUAAAAUGUUAA